This is a ribosomal RNA of Capsicum annuum, 156 nucleotides long. RefSeq annotates it as 5.8S ribosomal RNA. The record is from RefSeq and is a predicted model, not a curated record. NCBI's taxonomy places the organism in Eukaryota, Viridiplantae, Streptophyta, Magnoliopsida, Solanales, Solanaceae. The transcript has a single exon.
GACUCUUGGUAAUAGAUAUCUCGUCUCUCGCAUCGAUGAAGAACGUAGCAAAAUACGAUACUUGGUGUUAAUUAUAGAAUCCCGUGAACCCUAGAGUAUUUGAACACAAGUUGCGCCCGGAGCCAUCAAUCCGAGGGCACAUCUUCCUGGGCGUCA